CCUUGAAAGCUGCAAAAAAAGAGUGAGAGAUCUAGGUUUGGCCUGUACAUUAUGAGCAGGUUCCAUAUCUUGAGCUUGCAACAAGCUUCCAAUAUUCUCUGUACAAACUGGUCCUCGACAUUGACACCGGUUAGCUUCCGAUAGCUUCUCUGGGUUUUAUUUGGAAAGAGGUCAUCUUCUAGCAUAUUCCUGGUCUUGAACUUGCAACAAGCUUCCAUUUCUCUCUGCACAAACCGGUCCUUGACAUUGAUGGUGGCAUGCUAUUAAUAUAUUCUCUAAGAGUUUUAUUUGGAAGAAGGUCGUC
This 304-nucleotide long non-coding RNA is filed under the name Phoenix dactylifera (date palm). Its description in RNAcentral is "long non-coding RNA (PDAC_LNC016938)". The record is from RNAcentral. Lineage: Eukaryota; Viridiplantae; Streptophyta; Magnoliopsida; Arecales; Arecaceae.